This is a long non-coding RNA of Passer domesticus (house sparrow), 1448 nucleotides long. RefSeq lists it as uncharacterized. NCBI's taxonomy places the organism in Eukaryota, Metazoa, Chordata, Aves, Passeriformes, Passeridae. The record is from RefSeq and is a predicted model, not a curated record. The transcript is spliced from 5 exons.
CAUACCUUUGGUAAAGCAAUGUGGCCUCUUUAAUUUGUUACUGCACUCAGAUACAGGAUAUUCCUUCCUGUACCCAAUUCUAUGCGUGGAGCAACUUUAGAAAGUUACUUUUCCUUUUCUGAGCAACUUUGUUUAUCUGAAAAGCAAAAGUAAUUAUGCUGACUUUGCACAAUGCUUUGGGACUCACUUGUGGAAGGGACCAUGCAAGAGUGAGGGGAAGGAAAGGCAGGCACCAUCUGAAAGCAGGUGACACAUAUCUAGUGCAAGCUUGGAUGCAAGAAAGCAACAUGGACAAUUCUACCCCAAGAUGCAUAGCUUGACAGAGAAUAGUCAGACUCUCAGAUCUGGUCCUUACUCUAUAAUAUUUACUUACACCAUCAAGAACAGGAAGAGAAGAGGACUUCACAUUGCUGAAAUUAAUAUCUGAUCUGCUUCAGAACCCUGGAGAUUCUGGUUCAAAAGAAGUUCAAAAAUAUUGUGUACAUUGAAGAAAAGAUUACUAUGAAGGGGAAGGAUUGGAAAGAACCCAUAUUUUUUGUUUUUGUUUACUUCUGAACAUGAAAAAGAUUAAUUUUACCUUGAGAAUUACAAUCAUUCCUGGUUAGUUGCCGUGCAAGGUCUUGUAGUCCCUUCAUCUCGCUAAUUUUUAUUUAUAAUUUUUAAUAUAAACUUACGGAAAGGUACUAGGAUAUAAUAAACUGAAAUCUCCAGGUUACUUAAAUGCUGCUUCUAUAUAUCUUGCCUUCACACUUCUAGUCAUGCUGUCAACUCUGUGAACUGGUACUGAAGUGAACAGGAUUUCAGAUAGUCUUCAGGAAACCACACUUUUAGAGUGCAAUAGACAUAAGUGAUAAAAUAUUACUCUAGGAGAGGAAAUCUAGAGAGAAUUGUGGAGCAAUUCCACUAUCUGGGUAAAGUACUUCUUAAUAUUUAGCACAAAAGUUCUCUUAGGUGCUGAUAUUAAUUGGCAUAUUGAUAGAUAUACUGUAAUUUGUGUUUUACAGAAACAUGCUCAUAUUAAUGGGUUAAUUCAGUGAAGAUUGGAAAGAAUGCUUCCCCCAACUCCCAAUAGAUUUCAGUUAAGGCUAAGACCAGACCUUCAAAAAUUAUCAGCACCUUAACAGUUUGGUUGUUAAAAAUUGUUGAGUUUUCUGAUGUUGGCUGUGGGAUUACUCCCACAGACAACACACAUAAGGAGCACUCAUUGAAACUGCUGACUCACUUCAGAGUGGAUAAUAAUUUAAGUGAAUUACCUUGAAUUAACUGAAACAGAUGUGUUCCUGGUCUUGGCAAAAUUAACCUGUAAAAAAUUAAAAUGAGUAAAUUACUAGUCAGCUAACUUGAUCUAUAAAUUUCUCUCUGGAGUGAUCUAAUGGAAGUUCUGGGUGCAGGUUUGGGCUGUAUGUUUAGCAGCUAAUUUGCAUUUUAGCUUGUAUUUGCCUUGCUAC